RNAcentral lists this ribosomal RNA (397 nucleotides) under uncultured bacterium. RNAcentral describes it as "partial 16S ribosomal RNA". It matches the Rfam family "Bacterial small subunit ribosomal RNA", at positions 523 to 918 of the family's 1533-position model. The record is from RNAcentral.
AUACGUAGGGGGCGAGCGUUGACCGGAAUGAUUGGGCGUAAAGGGCGCGUAGGCGGCCCGGUAAGUCUGGAGUGAAAGUCCUGUGUUUAAGAUGGGAAUUGCUUUGGAUACUGUCGGGCUUGAGUGCAGGAGAGGUAAGUGGAAUUCCCAGUGUAGCGGGGAAAUGCGUAGAGAUUGGGAGGAACACCAGUGGCGAAGGCGACUUACUGGACUGUAACUGACGCUGAUGCGCGAAAGUGUGGGGAGCAAACAGGAUUAGAUACCCUGGUAGUCCACACUGUAAACGAUGAAGGCUAGGUGUAGGGGGUAUCGACCCCUUCUGUGCCGCAGUCAACACAACAAGCAGUCCGCCUGGGGAGUACGGCCGCAAGGUUGAAACUCAAAUGAAUUGACGGGG